AUAACAAGCUCAACACAAUCUGAGUUGCAAAGUACAAUAAAAGACCUGCUGCAUGGGGAAUGCAGCAGGAUUGAAAACCAGAAGGAAAGCAACAUAGCCCCAGAAGCUGCACAAAGGAGAAGAGGGAUGCAGGAAUGAUCAACACUGCUUCUCACUCCCAGGGAGAGUGAAGUCCCUCGCUAUUCCUCUGCCCAGUGCCACAGCCCUUGGUGUACUGCCGGCACCCAGACCCUUACUGGGAGUUGUGGUGGGCACUACUGGUCUGGUGGGGUUUCUGGGUCCUUCUUUACUUGCCAAAAACG
This is a long non-coding RNA of Pipra filicauda (Wire-tailed manakin), 302 nucleotides long. RefSeq lists it as uncharacterized. The record is from RefSeq and is a predicted model, not a curated record. The transcript is spliced from 3 exons. NCBI's taxonomy places the organism in Eukaryota, Metazoa, Chordata, Aves, Passeriformes, Pipridae.